AGCUAGCCCAUCCUCAUUUUCUUUUCUUCAUUUUCGGUCUCUCUCUCCUUUCUCGUUUCAUCCUCAAAGUCCGUCUCUCUCUCUCUCUCUCUCUCUCUCAAUGUCACGCUGAAAUAGCCUUCUCUCUCAAUACAAUUUGCGCCGCCUCUGAAGUCCGCGCCGCCGGCGAGUCGGCGUCCUCAUCUCCGGCGUCGCCUUCCUUUUGCUUUCGUCUUACCCUCUCCUUCUCUCCUCGACUUCUUCAUUCAAUUCCUCAAUUCUUCAAUCCGAGCCCUAGUUUCCACCAUUAAAACCGCCGCCGCCGCUGUUACUGGAGGCCCGGCGAGAGGUCAUCGUUCUAAGUCUGCUCUUCUAUCUGAAGGACCGGCGAAGCCGCGCCUCUUGACUGUUCCAGCCGCCGCCGCAGCUCCUGAUAAUCCGGCCAAGCGGACGUCUUCAACGGCUGCCCUCUCUCUACUCAAGUCAGACUCAAGCAUGCUCAAUCGAAAUCAGGAACCGUGCCCUAACUCCUUCCUUUCUCAAAUCGCCGCUGGGACCGCCGUCCUAUGCACGGGUCCGACGCGUCAUUUCUUAUCGUCGUGGUUCGCAAUCCGCCCCCUGUCUCACCCGAAGACUUGCCGCUGUCGGCGAUUCUUCUGUCUCGACGGGGUCAAGGUAGCCAUCCUCCGUCCGAUUUCAAGUCUCUCACACACACAGGUUGAGUACGAGGGUAAUGGGUAGAGUUAAGGUCAAGCUUUACCUCUUGAAGCUUGGCAGCCACUGAGUAAAUUCCUCUCUUUUGAUUGCUCAAGCACUAAGGAAGAAAUGAAAGUGAAUGUUGGCUGAUGGUCUUAAGGAUGAAGUGGGUUGGACUACAUUUGAGUGUCUGAAUUCUCUUUGUGAGGCAAGAGCAAUUGAUUGGCCACCUAAGGAGUAGUAUGGUGGCUGAAUGACGGCUGUCAUAGGGUGGCUGAUGGAGCAGCUAUAUAUACUAAAAGCAUGGCUGAUGGGGCAGCUAUAAGCAUGGCUUGGCAGGAGUUGAGUUAACGCUGGUAACUCCUCCCGUUAAGCCAUCAUUACAUUCUUGGGGACUGGUGUAUUCCGGCAUCAGAAUUCGGCAAUUUUACGUGGCCGAAUGUUCGGCAACACAUACAAAUGUACAUUUUGGGCGCCAUUUUAGAAAUCAGAUUUCAUAUUUGUGUAUUUUUCGUCGAUCCCUCUUUCAUCUCGCAUCUCUCUCACCAUGCGACCGAAAAUCCCCCGCCGCCCCACUCCACCGCUCCCACUGCUCUCCUUCACCACCGGUCCACCACCAUCGCCUAGUGUCUAUUCUUAUCUCUUUAUUGUUAGUUUUAUAUUUUCUCUUUCUCUUUCUCUCACUUAAUUUCUCAUCUCUCUCUCUCACAGUGGUUUCCGCGUUCCACCUCCGCUCCACCGCCUGAACACCUUUGACGGUGAAGUCUCUCAUUCGUCGUCGCCGUCGCCAUCCCCUACUCGAUUUCAGCUGUUGCCCGCGUCCACCACCUCCGCUCCACCACCGCCUGAACACCUUUGACGGUGAAGUCUCUCAUUCGCCGUCGCCGUCGCCGUCGCCAUCCCUUACUCGAUUUCAGAUAAGCUUUGUCAAAAUUUCCAUUGCUAAUUAAUUUGUUCGAAUUUCUUUGUUGUCUUUCUCUUUCUGCUUGGUUUUGAGUUUCUAUGGUUCAGCUUGAGCUUUACUCAUUAAGAUCUGAUUUCUAGAAUAGUAAACCAAAUCUUUGAAUUAAUUUAAGUCAUUGGUGAUUCUCUAUUUAGUUAAAUUUCUUCCUCAAGCUACAUUUCACUCCUUUUCAUAUACGAAUUGGAUCUAUUUUAUGUUGCUUUUCUUAUUACAUUGUGGAGACUGGAGAAUCUGGGGUAGUUGGUGACUUGGUGUAUAUAAUUUGGAAAUGUAAGAUCAUGAAUGUAUACAUGUUGUCUUAGGGGGCAUUCGAUUGGCUGUGUUAUGCAACAGAUAAAACUAACCGCCAACAUUUGAAAUAUUAGAUCGUAACCACCCCAAAAUAUAAAGAAUCUUAGCCAGAAUUCAUGCACAUCCAUACCCACUUUUGCCCGAGUCACCUUUCUUUUAGACCCCCUUCAUCGCCCUAUCCAAAUAUUCUAUUUCUUAUCUCCGAUCAAUCUCCUUUAAACAUCCAUUAGUACUAGAAACAUUUCAUGUAGUUGGCAAGUUGGACACUUGGUCUUGAAGAGAAUCUAUCAUAUUAAUUAGAAUAACAUAGUCACAUAUGUUGAAGUGUAAGAAUUCCCUACAAUUGUUGGACAGAUUGAACUAAAUAACUGGAAUAUACUAAAAAGUUGCCUUCCCAUAUCUACUGACUACAAAACAUAGGAAAUGCUUCAGCCCUCUCCCUGUCCUUCUUUUCCAAUCACUCUAUUCCUGAUAGCUCAGAAUUUUGGUAUUAGGCGCUUCAAGUUAUAGUGUAAUUUAAUAAUUUAAACAACUUAUGUGAACAUACUAGUAUAUUAACAAAUAUGCGAACAAAUUAUAUGAUCUGCAGCAUGUUUCUGAACCUUUCCUUAUAUACUACAUCAUCUAAAUAUACUUGUGCCUUUUGAUAUAGUUUAAUUUGUAUAAUGUGAAUUGCUUGAUGUGGUUUCUCUUUGUUGUUAUACUCCAUUUUUAGGUUGCAAACUACAGUGAAGGACUUUGUUGGGUGUUGCUUUACUUUCUGAAAGAUUGUGAAAAAGAGAAUGAUAAGUGAGAAACAAAAAGAGGUGGAAAUGGUGGUGAUUCAAAUAAGAUAGAAUUAUAUAUGUGUAGUAUGUCAGCUCUAUGUUAUUGAAACUCACUCUAAUUAGCAAAUUCAUACAUUUACACUAUAAUAUGUGUAGUUGAAUGUCAUAAUUUAUCUUAUCAUGAUAAAUCAACCAAAGAUUAACGUUUUUGAUUUUAUUGCAGAUGAUUAUUAUGCAGUUUUGGGUUUGGUAAUAAUAAAAAGCUCGACUUCAAAUUUAUUUAGUUAAUCUUGAUGUAUUAGGAUUUCCCAAUUUGUCUGUAUUUUUUUGUGUCUUCUAUUAUGCUGUCAUAAAAAAAAUUAUAAAAAAAUUGAGACGUAUGGGUUAGUCUACAAGAAAUUGUGCUUGCUUUAGGCUCUUUUGUUAUCAUGCAGUUACCUUUCAUUUGUAGUGACAAGAGAGUACAUCAUUGGCCGUUGGAUUUGGCAAAUAUGUAGGAAACUAUUACUACUAUAGGACAAGGUAUGCAUUGAGGCUGUGAAUCACAAGCUGAGUCGAGGAGAUGAGAACGCCGUGGGGCCGAGGAGACGUUGGUGGACCGAACGAAACCAUUCGUCACAGACGUCCACAGCUGCUCCCAGAAUCUGACCUCGAGCUGUGAAUCAUAAGUUGAGUCCUCAUAGGCAUUGAGGCAGUCGAGGUAGAGUAGGAGAUGCAUUUAUAUUGAUGUAUUUGGAAAUAUGUUGGGAGAUGCAAUUUUUGUUGUGUAUUUAGAAAUAUGGUGGAGAUACAAGUGAUGGUGUAAAUACAAUGAGGAGAUCUGCCUUUUUUAUGUUGUGUACCUCUUGUUACUACAUACGAAAUAAAAGAGAUCAUUACACUUUAAA
This is a long non-coding RNA of Salvia miltiorrhiza (redroot sage), 3584 nucleotides long. RefSeq lists it as uncharacterized. The record is from RefSeq and is a predicted model, not a curated record. The transcript is spliced from 4 exons. Lineage: Eukaryota; Viridiplantae; Streptophyta; Magnoliopsida; Lamiales; Lamiaceae.